Molecule: long non-coding RNA, 246 nt
Organism: Pistacia vera
Lineage: Eukaryota; Viridiplantae; Streptophyta; Magnoliopsida; Sapindales; Anacardiaceae
Exons: 3
Source: RefSeq, a predicted model, not a curated record
UGGUUAUGUGCCGGUUUUGGUAGAUGGAGAUGUUGUUUUUCUGAUUCUUUUGCUAUUUUACUGUAUCUGCAAAGAAGUAUCCUCAGCAUCCAUUGUUGCCUUCUGAUCUUAAGACAAAAGCUAUCAAUUUUCAGGAAAUCAUAAGAAUAGAGAAUGAACACCGGAUGAUAGCCAAUGUAUUGUCAAUGAUAGAGUGGAAGGUCUCUUAAGGGUACCAGAGCAUUUGGAGCUGGAUUUCUGAAAAAG